RNAcentral lists this ribosomal RNA (431 nucleotides) under uncultured bacterium. RNAcentral's name for it is "partial 16S ribosomal RNA". It matches the Rfam family "Bacterial small subunit ribosomal RNA", at positions 29 to 507 of the family's 1533-position model. The record is from RNAcentral.
AACGAACGCUGGCGGCAGGCUUAACACAUGCAAGUCGAACGCCCCGCAAGGGGAGUGGCAGACGGGUGAGUAACGCGUGGGAACAUACCCUUUUCUACGGAAUAGCUCUGGGAAACUGGAAUUAAUACCGUAUACGCCCUACGGGGGAAAGAUUUAUCGGGGAAGGAUUGGCCCGCGUUGGAUUAGCUAGUUGGUGGGGUAAAGGCCUACCAAGGCGACGAUCCAUAGCUGGUCUGAGAGGAUGAUCAGCCACAUUGGGACUGAGACACGGCCCAAACUCCUACGGGAGGCAGCAGUGGGGAAUAUUGGACAAUGGGCGCAAGCCUGAUCCAGCCAUGCCGCGUGAGUGAUGAAGGCCUUAGGGUCGUAAAGCUCUUUCACCGAUGAAGAUAAUGACGGUAGUCGGAGAAGAAGCCCCGGCUAACUUCGUG